Molecule: unclassified non-coding RNA, 307 nt
Filed under: plant metagenome
Description: partial contains 5.8S ribosomal RNA, internal transcribed spacer 2, and large subunit ribosomal RNA
Rfam family: 5.8S ribosomal RNA (bases 1-105)
Source: RNAcentral
GAAAUGCGAUAAGUAAUGUGAAUUGCAGAAUUCAGUGAAUCAUCGAAUCUUUGAACGCACAUUGCGCCCGCCAGCACUCUGGCGGGCAUGCCUGUUCGAGCGUCAUUUCAACCCUCAGAACCCCUUGCGGGAUCUGGCGUUGGGGAUUGGCAUCCAGCCAGCCCCGAAAUCUAGUGGCGGUCCCUCCGCGACCUCCCCUGUGCAGUAGCGAUACCUCGCAGCGGGACAGCGGUCUGACCACGCCGUAAAACCCCCAACUUCUCAAGGUUGACCUCGAAUCAGAUAGGAAUACGCGCUGAAGAUAAGC